AAACAGGCUAUGAAUGGGACAGUACAGCUUACAGAUGCUUAUUCAGCGAACCGGGGAUGGUGGGAGCCCGGAAAAGCAGGAUGCUGGAACAUCACCCAUGAGUCCCGCACUGAAAGGCUUCUGGCCGAUUAAGCUGCGGCGUCCCUUCCGCGUUAAGGAGUUUAUGAGCGGGCAAUAACCUUAUUGCCUAUCAGGGUGGUACCGCGGGAAAGCAAACCUUCUCGUCCCUAUU
Molecule: non-coding RNA, 232 nt
Filed under: Bacillus sp. (in: firmicutes)
Lineage: Bacteria; Bacillati; Bacillota; Bacilli; Caryophanales; Bacillaceae
Also listed under: 1 other name
Description: Bacillus sp. T-box sequence
Rfam family: T-box leader
About the family: Uncharged tRNA acts as the effector for transcription antitermination of genes in the T-box leader family. T-boxes are found upstream of many aminoacyl-tRNA synthetase genes and some amino acid biosynthetic genes usually in Gram-positive bacteria. The anticodon of a specific tRNA base pairs to a specifier sequence within the T-box motif, and the NCCA acceptor tail of the tRNA base pairs to a conserved bulge in the T-box antiterminator hairpin.
Source: RNAcentral